Molecule: ribosomal RNA, 494 nt
Filed under: uncultured bacterium
Lineage: Bacteria
Description: partial 16S ribosomal RNA
Rfam family: Bacterial small subunit ribosomal RNA
Source: RNAcentral
GACGAACGCUGGCGGCGUGCUUAACACAUGCAAGUCGAACGGUGAAGCGCCUUCCUUUUUGGUGGGUGUGGAUGAGUGGCGAACGGGUGAGUAACACGUGAGUAACCUGCCCCCUUCUUCUGGAUAACCGCAUGAAAGUGUGGCUAAUACGGGAUAUUCUGGGUCUGUCGCAUGAUGGGUCUGGGAAAGAUAUUGUUUCGGUGGGGGAUGGGCUCGCGGCCUAUCAGCUUGUUGGUGGGGUGAUGGCCUACCAAGGCGGUGACGGGUAGCCGGCCUGAGAGGGUGGACGGUCACACUGGGACUGAGACACGGCCCGGACUCCUACGGGAGGCAGCAGUGUGGAAUAUUGCACAAUGGGCGCAAGCCUGAUGCAGCGACGCCGCGUGAGGGAUGGAGGCCUUCGGGUUGUGAACCUCUUUCGCCAGUGAAGCAGGCCUGCCUCGUUUGUGGGUGGGUUGACGGUAGCUGGAUAAGAAGCGCCGGCUAACUACGUG